This is a small nuclear RNA of Perognathus longimembris pacificus (Pacific pocket mouse), 107 nucleotides long. NCBI's taxonomy places the organism in Eukaryota, Metazoa, Chordata, Mammalia, Rodentia, Heteromyidae. The record is from RefSeq and is a predicted model, not a curated record.
AUGCUCGCUUCGGCAGCACAUAUGCUAAAAUUGGAACCAUACAGAGAAGAUUAGCAUGGCUCCUGCUCAAGGGUGACACACAAAUUCCUGAAGCUGUCCAUAUUUAA